AGUGCNGCAGGCUUAAACAUGCAAGUCGAGGGGUAGGGCACUUCGGUGCUUGAGACCGGCGCACGGGUGCGUAACACGUAUGCAAUCUGCCUUCCACAGAGGGAUAGCCCAGAGAAAUUUGGAUUAAUACCUCAUAGCAUCAUGACCCGGCAUCGGGAUAUGAUUAAAGUCACAACGGUGGAAGAUGAGCAUGCGUCCCAUUAGCUAGUUGGUAAGGUAACGGCUUACCAAGGCUACGAUGGGUAGGGGUCCUGAGAGGGAGAUCCCCCACACUGGUACUGAGACACGGACCAGACUCCUACGGGAGGCAGCAGUGAGGAAUAUUGGUCAAUGGGCGCAAGCCUGAACCAGCCAUGCCGCGUGCAGGAUGACGGUCCUAUGGAUUGUAAACUGCUUUUGUACGGGAAGAAACCCUCCUACGUGUAGGAGCUUGACGGUACCGUAAGAAUAAGGAUCGGCUAACUCCGUGCCAGCAGCCGCGGUAAUACGGAGGAUCCAAGCGUUAUCCGGAAUCAUUGGGUUUAAAGGGUCUGUAGGCGGUCUUGUAAGUCAGUGGUGAAAGCCCAUCGCUCAACGGUGGAACGGCCAUUGAUACUGCUGGACUUGAAUUAUUGGGAAGCAACUAGAAUAUGUAGUGUAGCGGUGAAAUGCUUAGAGAUUACAUGGAAUACCAAUUGCGAAGGCAGGUUGCUACCAAUGGAUUGACGCUGAUGGACGAAAGCGUGGGUAGCGAACAGGAUUAGAUACCCUGGUAGUCCACGCCGUAAACGAUGGAUACUAGCUGUUGGGCGCAAGUUCAGUGGCUAAGCGAAAGUGAUAAGUAUCCCACCUGGGGAGUACGAACGCAAGUUUGAAACUCAAAGGAAUUGACGGGGGCCCGCACAAGCGGUGGAGCAUGUGGUUUAAUUCGAUGAUACGCGAGGAACCUUACCAAGGCUUAAAUGCAGACUGACCGGUUUGGAAACAGACCUUUCGCAAGACGGUCUACAAGGUGCUGCAUGGUUGUCGUCAGCU
RNAcentral lists this ribosomal RNA (1014 nucleotides) under Flavobacterium johnsoniae. Its description in RNAcentral is "bacterial SSU rRNA". It matches the Rfam family "Bacterial small subunit ribosomal RNA", at positions 38 to 1060 of the family's 1533-position model. The record is from RNAcentral. Lineage: Bacteria; Pseudomonadati; Bacteroidota; Flavobacteriia; Flavobacteriales; Flavobacteriaceae.